Molecule: ribosomal RNA, 1083 nt
Filed under: Salmonella enterica
Lineage: Bacteria; Pseudomonadati; Pseudomonadota; Gammaproteobacteria; Enterobacterales; Enterobacteriaceae
Also listed under: 1 other name
Description: partial 23S ribosomal RNA
Rfam family: Bacterial large subunit ribosomal RNA
Source: RNAcentral
GGCGGGACACGUGGUAUCCUGUCUGAAUAUGGGGGGACCAUCCUCCAAGGCUAAAUACUCCUGACUGACCGAUAGUGAACCAGUACCGUGAGGGAAAGGCGAAAAGAACCCCGGCGAGGGGAGUGAAAAAGAACCUGAAACCGUGUACGUACAAGCAGUGGGAGCACCCUUUGGGGUGUGACUGCGUACCUUUUGUAUAAUGGGUCAGCGACUUAUAUUCUGUAGCAAGGUUAACCGAAUAGGGGAGCCGGAGGGAAACCGAGUCUUAAUUGGGCGUUAAGUUGCAGGGUAUAGACCCGAAACCCGGUGAUCUAGCCAUGGGCAGGUUGAAGGUUGGGUAACACUAACUGGAGGACCGAACCGACUAAUGUUGAAAAAUUAGCGGAUGACCUGUGGCUGGGGGUGAAAGGCCAAUCAAACCGGGAGAUAGCUGGUUCUCCCCGAAAGCUAUUUAGGUAGCGCCUCGUGAAUUCAUCUCCGGGGGUAGAGCACUGUUUCGGCUAGGGGGCCAUCCCGGCUUACCAACCCGAUGCAAACUGCGAAUACCGGAGAAUGUUAUCACGGGAGACACACGGCGGGUGCUAACGUCCGUCGUGAAGAGGGAAACAACCCAGACCGCCAGCUAAGGUCCCAAAGUCAUGGUUAAGUGGGAAACGAUGUGGGAAGGCCCAGACAGCCAGGAUGUUGGCUUAGAAGCAGCCAUCAUUUAAAGAAAGCGUAAUAGCUCACUGGUCGAGUCGGCCUGCGCGGAAGAUGUAACGGGGCUAAACCAUGCACCGAAGCUGCGGCAGCGACGCUGAUGCGUUGUUGGGUAGGGGAGCGUUCUGUAAGCCUGUGAAGGUGGCCUGUGAGGGUUGCUGGAGGUAUCAGAAGUGCGAAUGCUGACAUAAGUAACGAUAAAGCGGGUGAAAAGCCCGCUCGCCGGAAGACCAAGGGUUCCUGUCCAACGUUAAUCGGGGCAGGGUGAGUCGACCCCUAAGGCGAGGCCGAAAGGCGUAGUCGAUGGGAAACGGGUUAAUAUUCCCGUACUUGGUGUUACUGCGAAGGGGGGACGGAGAAGGCUAUGUUGGCCGGGCGACGGUU